This 879-nucleotide unclassified non-coding RNA is filed under the name Hevea brasiliensis (rubber tree). Lineage: Eukaryota; Viridiplantae; Streptophyta; Magnoliopsida; Malpighiales; Euphorbiaceae. The record is from RNAcentral.
UCAUGUGCUUCCUUAGCUCCUUGUAAGUUCCAGCAAAUGAGCAGUCAUCCUGCAUGCAGCUUCUCCUUUUGGCAUUUAGAUAUUCUCGUGCAGGUUCCACCACAGUCCACCCUUUCACCUGGCCCCUGCAAAGGGGGCAAGCAAGCUCUGUGACUUCACACUUGUCAACAGGCCAACUGGAAUCUGAAAGCAGAAUUGGGUUAUCAGCAGUGCCACUGGAAGAGAUGACUUUAGUGUAAGCCUUUCUGUACUGGUCAAGGCAAUUAGAAUAACGAAAGCUAGUUGCACACAUAUAGGGACGACAACCCUUGUCAUGAGAGGAACAAAGUAGAAGAACAGCAUUGUGUGGGCACUCCAUGCACACAGAACAAGUUACGUCUUCCCAGUCUUUCUUAUCCAACGAUUUGGAGGAUUUCUUAUUGUAAAAGUCCUCAUCAUGAUUGCAAGAUGCCAAUUUGUAUGGCGCUGGCCUGCAUUGCCGGGAAGCAAUCCUGCAUCGUCCUCUGCUACCUUUUGCCAUUUCCAGCAAACCUGUAUUCUAAAUAGCGCAAUUGGAGCAAAUCCAGAUCGCAAAGACAGAAUGAGUUGAACGUACAAAUUGUAUCUCUUUUUACAUGAAAUCGAAUCGAAAGGUAAGGCGAUGAGAUCGAGACAGAGCAAACGCGAGAAAGUUAUAGGCGGGAGUGAGAAUUUCUCUCUCUUUGUUUUUUUUUUAAGCCUCUUAGCGCUUUUAUCGGAUUCGUCGAGUCAUUUCUACGCGAUGUAUCGUGCUCUCCUUUUUCCUAUUUCACUCUCUCUCCCUCUCUCUAGCUGCUCAAACUGGAAGCUAUUUCCAGACGAGCGACAAAUGAAGACUGAGCUACGCGCUCGCCAACUUUG